AGGCUUCUUAGCGGCCGCCAUGACCAGCAAAGCACGCGCAAACGGCCCACAGCCUCCUUCCGUUUGGCUGAGUGACGUACUUCUGGCAGGGGCGUGUCCUCUCCCGGAAAUGGCUUCACUGCCCGCCGCAGGCACUCCCUGUCUUUGGAGAGGGAAAUACUUCAGCUCCGGGAGAGAGCCGGCAGAAACCCAGGUGACACCAAUGCUGCGGCAUCUUAUAUACAAAAUCAAGGCAACUGGCCCCCUCACUGUGGCUGAGUACAUGAAGGAGGUCUUGACCAACCCUGCCAAGGGAUAUUAUGUGUACCGUGACAUGCUAGGAGAAAAAGGAGAUUUCAUUACUUCACCGGAAAUAAGUCAGAUCUUUGGGGAGCUGCUAGGUAUAUGGUUCAUUAGCGAAUGGAUGGCUACUGGAAAAAAUGCAGCUUUCCAACUGGUGGAACUGGGCCCAGGCAGGGGUACCCUCGCAGGAGAUAUUUUGAGGGUGUUCAGUCAGCUUGGAUCUGUGCUGAAAAACUGUGACAUUUCAAUACAUCUGGUAGAGGUGAGCAGAAAACUGAGUGAGAUUCAGGCAUUAACACUGACUGAAGAGAAGAUACCACUAGAGCGAAAUGCUGGAUCCCCUGUGUAUAUGAAAGGUGUUACAAAAUCUGGGAUUCCAAUCUCAUGGUACCGAGAUCUGCAUGAUGUUCCAAAAGGACACAGCUUUUAUCUAGCACAUGAAUUUUUUGACGUCCUUCCUGUGCAUAAGUUUCAGAAAACCCCACAAGGAUGGCGAGAAGUAUUCAUUGAUAUCGAUCCACAGGUUUCUGAUAAGCUGCGGUUUGUUUUGGCGCCUUGUGUCACACCAGCAGAAGUCUUCAUACAACGUGAUGAAAUGAGGGACCACGUGGAAGUGUGUCCUGAGGCUGGCAUUAUCAUUCAGGAGCUUUCUCAGCGCAUUGCGCUAACCGGAGGGGCUGCACUGAUUGCCGAUUAUGGUCAUGACGGAACGAAGACAGAUACCUUCAGAGGGUUUUGUGGCCACAAGCUCCAUGACGUCCUGACUGCCCCAGGAACAGCGGACCUCACAGCCGAUGUGGACUUCAGUUAUCUGCGCAGAAUGGCAGAGGGAGAAGUAGCUUCUCUGGGGCCAAUAAAACAACAGACAUUUUUAAAAAAUAUGGGCAUUGAUGUCCGGCUGAAGGUUCUUUUAGACAAAUCAGAUGAGCCAGCCAGGCAGCAGUUACUUCAGGGAUAUGAUAUGUUGAUGAAUCCUAAGAAGAUGGGAGAAAGAUUUAACUUUUUUGCCUUGCUACCUCAUCAGAGACUUCAUGGUAGAAGCCAUCCGAUGAAUGCAUGUCAGUCAAAACCCUCUGUGUCACCUGUAGCUGGGUUUGGUGAACUUGCCUGGCGGUGAUCUCAGUGUGGACGUUUUACCCCUACGUCUGCCUAAGCAAGCAAAAUAAAGGGAACACAUUUCAUAUAUCACAGAAUCUACCUACCACUACGACAAGAGAUACACAGAUUACAUCUCCUCAAAACCCUCUAUUCCCUGGAACAUUACUGGAUAUCCAGUCUUCACUGCAGUCUUAGAAAAGCCAACAUCUAUAUACUACAGCUAUUACAGCCGGAUGCCCCAAGUGGAAGACGGAUAUAAUUGCUACAGUCUACAAUUUUGUUUGGUGUCCGUCUGGGACACAGCAAAGUGUGGAGCAAGCCAAGCAAAGAAGACUAUACGAAGGUGAAGAAGAAGCUUUUGGAAUCAGGGCCUAAGAUAAAAUGGAUCAGUGGGGAACACCAAAUACCAUACUGGCAUCUUCUGGACAGGCAAUGAUCAUGGGACUUACUGAACUGCCCAAUCUAAAUCAUAGUGUCCAAAAGGCAAUCAGUACCAACCUGACAAGUAGGCCGAAACCAAAGGAACUCACAACAAAAAACAACCUUGGGUAGCAGGGCUAUUGUGAGGGGUGAAAUGGAGGGGUGUGGGACAAUUAUUUCAACAAGGAACUUAACCAUGAUUUCUAUACAUGAUAUUAGGCAGAGUCAUAAUAGAUAUAUGCCAACAUAAUUAAUAUUAUUUGAAUAUUUGGAAAAUAUACAAUAUUUCAAUGUACAUAUUUUUCAAAAUGUGGAAUCUUU
Molecule: RNA transcript, 2121 nt
Organism: Mirounga angustirostris (Northern elephant seal)
Lineage: Eukaryota; Metazoa; Chordata; Mammalia; Carnivora; Phocidae
Gene: NDUFAF7
Gene name: NADH:ubiquinone oxidoreductase complex assembly factor 7
Exons: 12
Source: RefSeq, a predicted model, not a curated record